GGGGGCGGCGGCGGCGGGCGGGGUCAGUGCGGGCCCCGCCGCGCCGCCCGGAGGAGUGGUGGUGGAUCUGACUCUUGACUCGUCCUCUGAGGAGGAAGGGGGCGGGGGCGGCGGCGAGAGCGAGGACACUGAGGACAGCGCGGACAGCCCCACCCCCAAGAGGGGCCGAUACAACUACGACAAGGACCUGGUCACUGCGUACUGACCCCCGCAGCUACUCUUCAACCCACCUCGCCCUCUCAUGGACGAAGGGGCGGGGGCGGGGGGGCUGAAAGCACGGAGAACGGAACAGUAAUACACUAGACACAGUGACCCCCGCAUCAUCAAAAAACAUCACAGCCUUUUAGCAGUUCCACACACAGAUAAAGAAUCUUCAGUCUAGCAUCAUUAGGAUUCCCGUUUGUACUCGACUCAACCACUGGAAGCCAACCACUUUUGGCUGACCAUCAUCCUGCAGCGAAUAUUUGUACUGCACUUCCCUCAAUGAGAGAAAUUCAGUGGAUUACCCGCUCCUCCCCAUCACCUCCUACAAACUCUUUUUCUCGAUGGACGUCGUCAUCUUUGCUGUCUGACCAGGAACAAAAAGCUGUUCACGCCACCGUGCAUUCGUUUUUUUUGGCACAUUUGAGCUGUCUGCGCUUCUCAGUGAAAGGGGAAGUCAAGUCAAAUAUUUACACUAUGUUGUAUGCGGCCCCACAAGUGUAAACACCAUUCUCUGAUUAAUAUUGCGUUCAUGGAAAAUGAAUUAAGCAGCAAAAUACUCAUCCAUGUCUGCGUGGCCAUUUUGCCACUUGCUGUUGACUGAAAAUGACAUCACAUUGCUUCAGGGAUCAGGUAAUGAUCAAUCACAGCUCAGCUUGUCCCAUGACCAAACUUAGAAAACAUGUGAGCUGUGUGGUUGGUCGGUACUUGAGCCUUGAUCAGCUGUGAUGUCCUUUUUAGUCGACACAAAGUGCCAACAUGACUCCCUCCUGAGGUGGAUUUAAAAAAAAAAAAAGUAUAUUUCGCUGCUUAAUUCCGCAAAUGCACUAUUACUCUGAAUGCCGUGUUUGGACGAAUGGGCUGCGAUACGUUAUUGUAAAGAACACUUUUUACUUGACUCCCCCCCUCCCCCCAAAAAGGUGGAAAAAAAGAAAAUAAAUGGCAAAAGAAUAAUCUGAACGUGAUGCAAACCUCUCCUAUGGCAUGUUUUUUUUGUGUUAAGAUUGGAUCCAUUUUAAUUUAAAGUACAUCACUGAUCUGGAUGCGUGAUGCUUUCCAUUUACGUAUUUUAUUUUGCAGUUUUUAGAUCUUUAAAUAAAAACCUACCUCAGUCAUUACACACAGCAGACUGAUCGGAGAACGAGUAAAGGACAGAUUUUCUGACGCCCAUUUUACACUGGAGAUUUUUUUUUCCCCCUUUGUCUUUUUUAAUUUCCAUUGUUCUAUGCAGUUCAUCUUGAGUGGAAUCAGUGCUGUCGUCUGGCUUCUACUUGGGAGAUCCCGUUUCAGGAAAUGGUUGAAGUAUGGCAGCCUUUGGCUGUUCAGUUAGCAGAAGAGAAGCCGCUCUGCUGUGCUUGUUCCCCUUUAUGCGGAAGGAUAUAAAUUAUUCACAAAUGCUGUUAUCUGCCCCUUUCCCUGCGCUUACACCACGUCUACUCGAUUGCAUCAUUCAAUUAUUGAAUCUUGUGUGCAGUUUGGACAUUCAGCUAUCUUAUUAAUAUGACUUUGCUAUUUUGCAGUGGGUUUCAAUUGACUAAUAUAACAUGUCGGUAAACACGAGCAACGUCCUCUUCAGUUCAGUUUGGAUCGGACUUUUUAAUUUGGGGCCCGGAGUCGUUUGCACACUUUUUGUUUAUGACUUUAAAGCCAUUGUGUAGUGAGUAUCCAUCCAAACACCUGCAACAGCACAAGGACCAGAAUAUUGUCUCGCUGCGCUUAGCACGGGAAUCUCGUUGAUACUCUGCAGCUUGAAUUUUGGUUGUACGUUGAGCUAAAUCUGGUCUUCCAACUUGUUUUCUUGCCCACACUCCUCAUAAUCUGUCUACAGGUUAUUGGAGGUCCCACAGGUGUAGGUUUGCUUCUAUGGAACUGAGCCAGAGGCCCCUUUUUUUUUUUUUUUUUUUUUUUUUUUUUUGAUAGGGGGUGAGGUUGAGUACGAGGGCCGAGUGUCUGGUUAUGACUACAGUAUGUUGUGGCAUCUCUUAUGUUAAAUGCAUAAGGUAGCAUGGACAGAUGCUUACAAUCCAUGAUGUAAAUGUUUUUGUUGUUGUUUUUUUUUUUUAUAUGUUCAUAUUAAAAGUCAAUAAAAUGUAAAUGAUA
Molecule: long non-coding RNA, 2301 nt
Organism: Hippocampus comes (tiger tail seahorse)
Lineage: Eukaryota; Metazoa; Chordata; Actinopteri; Syngnathiformes; Syngnathidae
Exons: 2
Source: RefSeq, a predicted model, not a curated record